AUGGCAAAGAAAGGUUUAAAAAGUUGUUUAAAAAUGGCAGCCUUUCGUUCAUGUUCCCUUCCUACUUUUAUGUCGCCACCUUCGACGGACCACCGGCGGUGUAGCCGAAAGAACCAUCGCGUCUUUACCUCUUUGUUCUCCGCCCACGCCCGGCCUCCCCAUCCUCCUCCUGGCGCCUGCGCAUGCGUCCCAAAUCCCAUACGGGCGGGCUCCCCCCGCGGCCAACCAGACCGAGCGAAGCGGGCGAGAGGCGCCUUNNNNNNNNNNNNNNNNNNNNNNNNNNNNNNNNNNNNNNNNNNNNNNNNNNNNNNNNNNNNNNNNNNNNNNNNNNNNNNNNACGCCGGCGGCGUGACGUCAGCCCCAUCGGGCGCCGCCGGAGCCUACGCCGACGGCGCAAAGGCGUUGCUCCGGCUGCCCGGGCAAGAGCGAGCGCCAGGAAAGGGGUUUAAAGAGACAACGGCCGAUGGAGACGCGGCUGGGGGGCCCGGCUGGGGGGCCCGACCUCUGAACCAGCGAGGCCCGGGGGGCUGGAAAGGACCCAGCUCCUCCUGCCUGACCCGAUCCACAACGGCUUUUGAUUUUCGUUGGUUCAUCCGCUGCCGUUGAGUCUUCUCCCUCCCACGAAGAGGCCAAUGUUGAGCGCUGUGUCGGUGGAAUGAUGACGAGAUACGGGAGCGUGACCCAGUGAGUAGCGCUCAGGUACCUCACCGAAUCCUCAGCAAAGGAAUGUUUCCUCAAAAGUUGAAAUGGCCGGUUCGUCUUGCCAAGUUCAAACGGAGCAGGCCGGAGGGCAGCCCUCCUGAGGGGUCCGAACGGCGGAGCCCCAUUGUUCCUUAGCCCGUGCCUGGCUUUAGCUCUUUGGAGGCCAUCGCCUCUUGAAAUUUUGCAGAGGGAAAGAUGCUUCAUGAGGGAGGGAGGCCGGGAUGCUUUCCCCUCGUUCCACGGGGCUGUUCCGUGAGCUUCUCUGAAGAUGCCUUUGCCGCACCAGCUGACUAGGGUAUAACCCAUAUGGAUGGAUCGUGGAGAGCCGGCAGGGGAACUCUCUGCCACAAGAUGCUGUCGGGGCUCCCAAGCCUAAAACAGAGUAGGAUAGAUCCAUGGAGGUUAAAGCCAUCCGUGCCUCGCCUGUUGAUAAUGUCUUGGGCCUCCUCACAUCCAGUUUUUGGGACCCUUUCUCAGCCACCGAGGAGCCUGAAACGGAGGCAGGAGUUGUGUGCAUGUCUUGCCUGCGGGAUUUCUAGAAGCAACAACCUGGCUGGUCUAUGAGCGGAAGGCUGGACCCGGAAGGCCCUCUUGUUUUGGUCUCCUCCAACCUCUCUCUGGAUUUUCUUAAGGCCCCCUCUGCGCUGCAACUUUUGCGCUGCAGCUUGGGUUUUCUUAUUGUCUCCCUUGGUCCAGAGUUCCCCUUAACGCCUGCUGCUUCUCCUCGGGAUCCGUGGGGGCCUCCCCGGCAAGCUGGAGGCGUGUGAUUAUCGCUCAGCGACAGCAGGCAGGGUGGAGGAAGUGUUGGCACUACCCGGCCGGCCGUCUUCUUGGCUGUCCGGUUUGCUUGGCACGGCGCUUUGGCCGAAGCAGGCUCUUUCUUUUCUCUGCCCCCCCCCGGGGGGGGCUGGUUGCAACGCCAGGGCUGGAUGGAAGUCUGAUGGCUACCCGCAGCCACGUCCGGGAGCAGGACGGGCCCUGUUCAUUCCGGUUCCAGCACCCGCAUGCAAUUCAGGGGCAAAAAUCUUUUUCCUCCUCUCCUGUUUUCACCCAAACCGGCAUCUCCUCUUUUCGCUUCGGCAGGGCUGAGCGGCAGGAUGGGAACAGACUGUCUUUGAGUGUUCCUGGUAAAGUCAUCUUUCCCUUCUGGUGCCCCGGAUUUGUGGAACGAACCCAGAAUGGUGCCGGAAUGGUCCAGCGCAGACGAGACAAUCUAGGGCAGGAUCCGGCAUGCUAUUUAAACCAAUGGGAACACGAGGACAUCACUCAAGAGUGGCACUCAAGUGCGUGCCCCUCUCCCGUUUCAUUCUGGGGCCGCCACGUCAAAGGCCCUGUUCUGAACAACAGUGCUGCGGGACUUUGUCGACGUGGCCGCCUCUUGGAUCGGUGGCCUCGUGAUCCAAAUGGAGAGAAGCGCAUGGGGUCCCGGGACUCGGACUCCAUGUUAUGCUGGGAAGCUUGAUGUGGCGGGAGGACCCAGAAGGCUCCCUGCCCUCUGGGAAACGUAUGAUUUACUUAUUUAAAGCAUUUUAUCACGCCUUUCUUCUUAAAAAGAGCCCAAGGCAGCUUACAUCAUUAAAAAUGACACUGUUUAACAGCUAAAAACAGGAAGUGUACGGGCAUUUAGAAAGAAUGAAACAAGUUUAUAUUAAAAACGGUAAAUAAAAUCAGUACUGAAACACA
RNAcentral lists this long non-coding RNA (2385 nucleotides) under Pogona vitticeps (central bearded dragon). Its description in RNAcentral is "lncRNA (ENSPVIG00000006670.1)". The record is from RNAcentral. Lineage: Eukaryota; Metazoa; Chordata; Lepidosauria; Squamata; Agamidae.